UAUAACCGGCACUGGCAACCAAAAGCGAGCCUGAGAGAGAGGGAGAGAGAGAGACUUUUCCCCCAGCCACCCCCACCCCUUUUUCUUUUUUCUCCAAGGCUGCACUUUGGAAGAGAUCAUGUAGAAAGGACAGAAAGUGAGCAGGGAGCGGGGGCUUUUGUCUAUUGUUCUCCUUGUGCUACUUGAGAGAAACUGCAAUCCCAAGACUUAACAGAAUCUAAA
Molecule: long non-coding RNA, 222 nt
Organism: Gavia stellata (red-throated loon)
Lineage: Eukaryota; Metazoa; Chordata; Aves; Gaviiformes; Gaviidae
Exons: 3
Source: RefSeq, a predicted model, not a curated record